GAUGAACGCUAGCUACAGGCUUAACACAUGCAAGUCGCGGGGCAGCAUGGGGGUUGCUUGCAAUCCCCGAUGGCGACCGGCGCACGGGUGAGUAACGCGUAUCCAACCUGCCCUUCACCACGGGAUAGCCCGGCGAAAGUCGGACUAAUACCGUAUGUUGUCCAUUGACGGCAUCCGAUUUGGACGAAAGGUUUGGCGGUGAAGGAUGGGGAUGCGUCCGAUUAGCUGGACGGCGGGGUGACGGCCCACCGUGGCGACGAUCGGUAGGGGUUCUGAGAGGAAGGUCCCCCACACUGGAACUGAGACACGGUCCAGACUCCUACGGGAGGCAGCAGUGAGGAAUAUUGAUCAAUGGGCGUAAGCCUGAACCAGCCAAGUAGCGUGCAGGAUGACGGCCCUAUGGGUUGUAAACUGCUUUUAUGCGGGGAUAAAGUGGCCCACGUGUGGGUUUUUGCAGGUACCGCAUGAAUAAGGACCGGCUAAUUCCGUG
RNAcentral lists this ribosomal RNA (490 nucleotides) under uncultured bacterium. RNAcentral describes it as "partial 16S ribosomal RNA". It matches the Rfam family "Bacterial small subunit ribosomal RNA", at positions 28 to 507 of the family's 1533-position model. The record is from RNAcentral.